Molecule: long non-coding RNA, 523 nt
Organism: Thalassophryne amazonica
Lineage: Eukaryota; Metazoa; Chordata; Actinopteri; Batrachoidiformes; Batrachoididae
Exons: 2
Source: RefSeq, a predicted model, not a curated record
GAAAGGAAAAUGCACGUUCAUGGAUGAGUUGAAGAAAAAAUUCCCGUGCUUUCGCCAGGCUGCUCAAGAUGGUAUAUUUUUUUUUUUUUGUGCCAUACCUGCCCACAAUGCAAAUGUGGAGCACAUCUUUUCACUAAUGCAAGCGCAGUGGACAAAGGAGAGGAAUCGCAUGUCUGUGGAUUCACUGAAAGGGACUUUGUGCACCCAGUACAAUUUCAGGAACAUGACCUGCAAAGAUUUUCAUACCUACUUAAUGGGUAAUCGUAAACUGUUGAAAGAGAUGCAAUCUUCUGACAAAUACACCCCGCAAGAGGAGGACUGAAGAGAAGCCAAUUUUUUUCAGGAGAACUGAAGAGGAGCCUUUUUUUUUUUUUCUCAAAUGCUGCACCGAUGGCCCUACUUCUUUUUUCUUUUUUACUUAGUCUACCACUAACACUCAAAAAUGUCAGUGUACAUAUGUUUUUGUUAGUGUAUAUAUGUUGUUUUGUGUUAUUCGGGCCAAUAAAUGCAAUUGUUAUACAGA